RNAcentral lists this transfer RNA (65 nucleotides) under Fukomys damarensis (Damara mole-rat). It matches the Rfam family "tRNA". From Rfam's summary of the family: Transfer RNA (tRNA) molecules are approximately 80 nucleotides in length. Their secondary structure includes four short double-helical elements and three loops (D, anti-codon, and T loops). The record is from Rfam by way of RNAcentral. Lineage: Eukaryota; Metazoa; Chordata; Mammalia; Rodentia; Bathyergidae.
GCUGUAGCUCAGUGGUGCAGUGCCUGCCUGGCAAGCAGGAGGAUCUGAGUUUGAUUCCCAGUAGC